GACGAACGCUGGCGGCGUGCUUAACACAUGCAAGUCGAACGGAAGGGCCCUGCUUUUGUGGGGUGCUCGAGUGGCGAACGGGUGAGUAACACGUGAGUAACCUGCCCUUGACUUUGGGAUAACUUCAGGAAACUGGGGCUAAUACCGGAUAGGAGCUCCUGCUGCAUGGUGGGGGUUGGAAAGUUUCGGCGGUUGGGGAUGGACUCGCGGCUUAUCAGCUUGUUGGUGGGGUAGUGGCUUACCAAGGCUUUGACGGGUAGCCGGCCUGAGAGGGUGACCGGCCACAUUGGGACUGAGAUACGGCCCAGACUCCUACGGGAGGCAGCAGUGGGGAAUAUUGCACAAUGGGCGGAAGCCUGAUGCAGCAACGCCGCGUGCGGGGUGACGGCCUUCGGGUUGUAAACCGCUUUCGCCUGUGACGAAGCGUGAGUGACGGUAAUGGGUAAAGAAGCACCGGCUAACUACGUG
Molecule: ribosomal RNA, 468 nt
Filed under: uncultured bacterium
Lineage: Bacteria
Description: partial 16S ribosomal RNA
Rfam family: Bacterial small subunit ribosomal RNA
Source: RNAcentral